UAUUUUAUAAAAUAAUAGCAAUUUAAAAGUUAUAGAAACAUAAAAAAUAAAAAAAUAAAUGUAGAACAUACAAAUAUGAUUACAAAGAAACAUGUAUACAUACAUAUAAUUACAAAGAACCGAACAUAUAACUUUUUAGCUACUAUUAUUUUAUAAAAUAGAUUUUGAUUAAGAUUUAUACAUAUGAUUACAAAAAAAAAACACAAAUAUAACUACAAAAAGAAACACUAAUAUAAAAAUUAAAUUAAAACAAAAAAUGUACCCGCCCUUUCAAAGGGCGGGUGAAAAUCUAGUUAAUCCUUAAGGUUAAUGAAAUAUAAUAAUAAUAUUUUGGCUUAACUAACUAUGGAUCAAUCCUUCAAGAAGGAUUGGAAGGACUUGAUCCUUAAUACACGUGUCUCCUUAUCCUCCUCUUUCUCCUUCGCUCUCUCUAUAUCUCCUCCCUGGCUCUCUCUCAAUCUCUCCUCGCUAGCCCCAUCAUCGCCCACCAUGGCUCCUCUAUCAUCUUCCUCUUCUUCUUCAUCACCCAACCCUAGAUUAUUUUCAUAAAAAUUGGGGCUUUCUCAUCCGAUCCCAAUCGAGUUCUCACCUCAGGUUCGUCGAAAAUUGGGGCUUUUGCUGGAUUAGAUCAACACUAUGCUCGUUGCUAUUGGGAGUUUUCUAAAGCUCGACUCAGGAAGCAGAUUCGUAUGUUUCCUUCUCCACGACUUCUGAAUUUUGACACAUUCGUUGUUUCUUUUGAAGAUAUAAAGUUGGAAGAAUCGAGCAGUUAGAAACAUCUGACCAGGCAAAAGCCAGAGGUGCAAAUACUAUAAUACCGAGGAAGCUAGUUCAGGUAUUAACUCCAUCAACAGCAAGCGAGGGUAAUCUAGGGCCUGAUCCCGUCCAUCUCCUUGCUAUAAAAGAGGUGAAAAUGGAGCUAGAAAAGUGUUCAACUGUCCAGAAGUGGCCUGAGCUAUGGCCUAAACGGCUUGUGAGUGUAAAGCCUCAAAGUGUUUCGGCUGACACAAAAACAUCCAAGAAAGAUACAGAGAAAUGGUCAGAGAUUGUAUCUGAUGUCUAUCUUGAACGUUUAGCUGUAAACUGGUCUAGCGUGAGGAAUGUGAUGGACAUGAAUGCUGGUUUUGGCGGGUAACUUUUUACAUUUUUUUUUUAAUUUCUAAGAACUCCUAAAAGGGAAACACCAUUGGACACACAAAAUAGUGUGGAGUCCUUAACUAUUCAAAUUAACAAAAAAAAAACAAAAAAAAUA
This is an RNA transcript of Brassica rapa (field mustard), 1252 nucleotides long. RefSeq lists it as uncharacterized. The record is from RefSeq and is a predicted model, not a curated record. Lineage: Eukaryota; Viridiplantae; Streptophyta; Magnoliopsida; Brassicales; Brassicaceae.